Molecule: long non-coding RNA, 6108 nt
Filed under: Zostera marina
Lineage: Eukaryota; Viridiplantae; Streptophyta; Magnoliopsida; Alismatales; Zosteraceae
Description: long non-coding RNA (ZMAR_LNC003447)
Source: RNAcentral
UUUAACUUGUUUUAUUUAACCAACUAUCCUUGUGUUUUCAACUAUUGAAAAACACUUGGAUAUUUAUAAGCCAGUCCUUUGAUAAGUUAAUUUAAUAGGUUUUGUAGUAACCUUUUAUUUAUUUUUAUUACGCUUAGGUCCUUAGUUCAUGUUUAUUGUAACUUGUUGUUUUAACCCUGGAUUUCAGCAUAAUAAUCUUAUACUCCCCCCUCAAGCUUUGGAAUAUGCAUUGUGGAUUCCUAGCUUGACAGAGAAUGCUGAGAUCUCAUUCUCUCCUAGAGAUUUGGUGAAGAUAUCUGCAAGUUGGUAUUUAGUACCUACUUGUUUUAGCAAAAUUAUUCCUUUAUCUAUCAUUUCUCUAAUGGAAUGACAUGAGAUCUCUAUAUGCUUACUUCUCUCAUGAAAUACUGGAUUAUUAGCAAGGUAUAUUGCUGAUUUAUUGUCACAGUAUAGAGAAGUUGGCAUCUGUAUUUUCAACUUUAAAUCUUUAAAAAGUUGGUGUAGACAAAGCACUUCACAUUGUGCUUUACUGAUGGCUCUGUAUUCAGCCUCACAAGAUGAGAGUGAAACAGUAUUUUGCUUCUUGGAUUUCCAAGAAAUUAAUGACGUUCCUAAGAAUAUGCAAUAUCCUGAUAAUGAUUUUCUGCUAAUUGAGCAAGAAGCCCAAUCUGAGUCACAAUAUCCAUGAAGAUUCAUUUGAUUUUGACUCUUAUACAGGAUGCCUUGGCCAGGGGCAUUUUUGAGGUAUCUUAUCACCUUAAACAAAACUUGAAGGUGAAUUUCAUUGGGAUUUCCCAUGAACUGGCUCAGCCAAUGAACCGGGAAACUUAGGUCAGGUCUAGUGAUAUUCAAGUAUAUGAGUUUACCCACUAGUGACCUAUAUAGAGUUGGGUCUGUUAGAUCCUUUGCUUGUUCAUUUCUUAAAUUUACAUACCUCUCCAUAGGUACUUUUGAUGGCUUUGCAUCCAUUUGGCCACUUUCUUCUAGUAUGCCUAAUGCAUAUUUUCUUUGUGAUAUAUAUAUACCUUCUGAUGGGUAUGAGACCUCAAUUCCUAAGAAAUAGGACAAUUUUCCUAAAUCCUUAAUUUUGAAGUUUUUUUCAAUAUUUUUUUUUAUUAGAAACAUUUCUGUCUCAUUGUUCCCUGUAAUGAUAAUAUCAUCUACAUAUACCAGUAGGUAUAUCAUAUUAUCAUUGUUUGUUUUCACAAACAAUGAAUAAUCAGAAGGUGUUUGUACAAAACUCAUUUCAAGUAAAACUCCCUUCAACUUAGCAAACCAGUUUCUGGAUGCCUGUUUUAAGCCAUAGAGAGAUUUAUUUAGUUUACACACCCUUUUGUCUCCUUCACUGAGGAGCCCCUGGGGUGGUUUGAGAUAUACUUCUUCAUGAAGAUCUCCAUAGAGGAAGGCAUUAUUAACAUCUAGUUGAUAGAUGUUCCAUUUCUUAAUUGCUGAAAUUGCAAUUAUAGUUUUAAUUGUGGUCAUUUUGACUACUGGGGCAAAUGUUUCAUAGUAGUCAAAUCCUUCUUUUUGAGUGAACCCUUUUGCUACAAGUCUAGCCUUGUAUCUCUCUAUUUCACCAUUUGGCUUAUGCUUAAUUUUAAAAAUCCACUUGGAGCCUAUAAGCUUCCUAUCAUGAGGAAGUGUGGUUAAAGUCCAAGUUUCAUUUAAAAGAAGUGCAUCCAUUUCUUUCUUCAUUGCUUCUACCCAAUUUGGGUUCUUAGAAGCUUCUGAGAAGGUUUGAGGUUCAUCAUGAAUUGAUAUUUGAUGAAGAAAUUUUUUAUGAUUUUUUUUAAUUUUAUGGUAUGAUACUUGAUUACAUAUUGGGUAUUUCCCUCUUUUGUUGUUAUUUCCAUAUUCCUUGUCAUUUUCAAGAAAAAAAUCCUUGUAAGCUUCUGGAAUAUGGAUUACCCUGCCUGUUCUUGUUUUCUUUUCAAUUAUUUCUAUUGGGUUUUUUGAAAAUAUGCAGGGAACAUUUUCUUUUUGUUUAAGACAAUCUCCUGUAAUUUCAGGUGUAUUGUUCUGUUUUUCUAUUGAUGUUCCUAUAUCUGAUGAUCUUAUGUCAUCAUUCUGAACAUUUUCAGAAUAGAGGAAAGUUUGAUCAUUCUGAACAUUUGCUGAAUUUUUUCCAUUAUAUUCAGAAUUUUUGAUGUUUUGUGAGUUAUGAUUUAACUCAACAGAAUCAUGACUAGGUGUAUGAAUUAGUCCUAUAUCUGAUGAUCUUAUGUCAUCAUUCUGAACAUUUUCAGAAUAGAGGGAAGUUUGAUCAUUCUGAACAUUUACUGAAUUUUUUUUAUUAUAUUCAGAAUUUUUGAUAUUUUGUGAGUUAUGAUUUAACUCAACAGAAUCAUGACUAGGUGUAUGAAUUAGUGAAUCAUAUAAUUCAUACUGUCCUGGAUUCAUUUGAUCAUUUUUUGAUCUGUAUUCUGAGUUUUAAGCAGUAUUUCCAGAAUUUCUGGUAUUCUGUGAAUUGUGGUUUAACUCAAUACAUUUAUUGUUUUUUUUUUUGCUCACACUGAUAUUUUUCAUAUGUUUAGACAUAUGAACUUGUGAGUUAUAUUUUUCAGAUUGUUUUGGGUUUGUUUGAUCAUUUUUUGAACUAUUUUCUGAAUUAUUUUCCAGAAUGUAAUAUUCAUCAUUCCCUGAUCUUAUUUCCAGAACACUGGUUUCUUUUUUAUUUUUGUUUUGAUGAUGCCUUUUAUAGUCAUACCAUGACUUAUUUACAUCAUCAUGAUAUAAAAAAAUAUUAUUAUAGCAAUUUUGAAAUUUAUUUUCUUUUUGUGUUUCUUCUAGAUUAAGAUCAUCUUUGAAUGGGAAUAUUGACUCUCUAAAUGAGACAUCCCUAGAGACAAUGAAUUUUCUAUCUGAAACUCUUAAUAUAAGAUAUCCUUUAAUACCUUUGGGAUAUCCCAUAAAGAUCCCUUGACAAGUUUUUGGUGAAAACUUGUUUUCCAUUUGUGUGACUGAGGCAUAGCAUAGGCAACCAAAUGAUUUCAAAUUUUCGUAAUUUGGUAUUUUUUUAUGAAUUAUUUCAUAAGGUGUUUUGUUUUCUAAGGUCUUGGAGGGAAUUCUAUUAAUUAAAUGGGCUGCUGUUAGGAUACACUCCCCCCAAUAUUCCAAUGGAAUAUUUCCUUGAAAAUGUAGUGCUCUUGCAAUGUUCAAGAGAUGCCUAUGUUUUCUUUCUACCCUUGCAUUUUGGGCAGGUGUAUAGGGGCAUGAGAAUUGUUGAACAAUUCCAUGUUUUUCAGUCAUUUUUUUAAAAUUGUUAGAAGUGAAUUCUCCCCCAUUAUCACUUCUAAUAGUUUUGAUUUUGGUUUUGAACUGUGUUUUAACCAUUUUGUAAAACUUCUCAAUACAUUCUAUUGCCAUUGAUUUGUUUUUAAUUAGAUAUAUCCAAGUACCUCUACUUAGAUCUUCCACAAUAGUUAAGAAAUAAUUAAACCCAUCAUGGGUCAUUAUGGGAAAUUUUCCCCAUAUAUCUAUGUGGAUUAAAUCAAAAAUAUUUUCAGAUUUGGAACUACUAAUUGCAUAUUUGAGUUUAGCUUGCUUGGCUAAUGGACAUAUUCUACAAUCAUAUUGAAUCGAAUUUAUUUUAUUGAAAACUGAAUUUUUAUCAACAAUCUCAUUCCUACAAUCUGGAAUUUUUUUGUUCUUAUUACAAUCUGAACUAUCAUUAUUACAAUCUGUUUUUUUGUAUCUAAUUUUGUAUUGAGAAACUAAUGUCUUCAUUUUUUCAGAAGAAAUGUGUCCCAAUCUUUGAUGCCAAGUCUUGAAGUCAAUGGCUGAGUUUGCUAAAAAAUGAUGAGGGGUGAAAAAAUAUAGUCCAUCAGUAGACUCACCCUUGCCAAUCACUUUCUCGGAUUUGUUUUCCUGAAAUUGAAAACAAUGAUCAUUAAAUAUUACUUUAAUGUCAUUGUCUAAGGUUAACUUGCUUAUAGCUAUUAGAUUAACCUUAAAUUCAGGAAUAUACAACACAUUUUUUAAAAUCAGAUUUUCAGAUAUUUUUAUACAACCCAUUCCUUGAACCAUCAAUAUUUUGCCACUAGGUAUAGUCACAAAAUGGUUAUAUUCUUUAACUAAUGGGUUGGUGAAUAGAUGUAAAUUACCAGUCAUGUGUUGUGAUGCUCCGGUAUCUACUAUCCAUCUAUCAAUAUAAUUAUUUGUAUUGAAAGAAAAAGAAAAAUUAUUACCAGUGUUUGACUUUGUUGAAGAGAUAAGUUCCUUGAAUAAUUGGAUCUCUUCUUGACUUAGCACUAGUUGUUGACUACUGGAGGUAGUUGCUAGGUUUGCAAAUUCUGAAACAGUGGUAUUACUGCCCUGGUUCUUCUUUGUUUGAAUUUUCUUUUGAAAUUUUUCUUUUCCCGGUUUGCCUACUAAAUGAUAACACUUUUCCCUUGUAUGACCAUAAUACUUACAGUUAUCACAGUAGAAUCUAGUAUCGAGUUUCUUUCCAUUUUUAGAGUACAUACCCUUUGUUCCUUCUACUGGAUUCUUAUCUUUUACAUAAAAGGCAGAUUCAGUAUUUUUCUCAUUGGUGUGUUCUCUGAAUUUACAUCUCUGUUUUUCCUCUUGAAUAACUAAUCCUAGAACCUUAUUCAUGUUUGGUAAUUUUUCUAAUGAAAGAAUUUGGGUUCUAAGAUUAAAAAAGUUUUCAUUCAGUCCUAACAAGAACUGAUGAAUCAUAUCAUUCUCUUCUUUUUCUUGGUAGAGUUUCUUGCAUGACAUACAAAAUUUUUCCUUAAUUUCAUCAAUCUGUACCAAUUGAUCCCAAAUGGAUCUGAAUUUGUCAUAAAAUUCAGAUGAAGGCAAUGAUCCUUGUUGUAGACAACAUAGUUCGUAUUUAAUUUGAUUUAUCUUGGGAGCAUUCCCUUGUUUAUAUCUAUUCUCUAGAUCUAACCAUACUUGAUGGGCAUCAUUGGUAUACAUGAUAGUAGAUUGUAUUUGGGGAGAUACUGAAUUUAACAACCAUGCAAGAACUAAUCCAUUAACUAUCUUCCAUAUGUUAUAUUCCCUACUAGCAAAAUCUGUGGGCAUUGUAAUCUGUCCAGUAAUGAAAGCAUCCUUUCUUCUUGAAACCAAUGAGACUUUCAUCCCAUUGGACCAAGUUAUAUAGUUGGAUUCACCAACUAAUCUAUCUGGAACUAAUACUGCCCCCGGGUGAUCACCGGAGGUUAAAAAAAAUGGUGAUUCUGGAUUUUGUAAAGGAGAGAUGUACCUUUCCGAUUUGUGCCUUUUAAAAAAGGAACCUUGGUACAAACCUUCUUGAUAAUUGCUUGGUCGAGAUUUUGCUGUCGACCCAGAAGAGGAUUCGCGAGAUGCUGCUGGAGUCACUAUCGGAUUAGGCGGUUGUACAGCAGGAAGAGUUGCGGCUAGAUUUGCCUGAAGCAUUGCGGAAAUGGCUGGCUGGUUGACCGGAGGAGCGCCAGGACGAUUGACGGCUGAUACCAUAUUAUUUUCCUGCAUAGUAGGUGCCGCUGGUGACAAUGCAGAUGAUUCCUCAUACCUGGGAUGAGAGAAAUUUAAUGGGGUUGCCAUUCAGAAGCUAGGGUUUUCCGCCUGUAUGAAAAGGGGGCAACUAACUACUAAAACUGUCACUAAGAAGAAGAGUUGAGAGAGAGUGGUUUUAGUUAAUCACAAAUGAUGAUUAACCUUGUAUUGAAUUAAUUAUUAUCUGUUUAUCAAGUUAUACUUAUACAUUUGAUUAAUGAAUAAUUAACUGACUAAUCUCUCAACAGUUAGUUAACAUUAACUAAAACUAAUAUUAACUAAAAUCUAUUUCUGGGCCGGCUUCAUGCUGUGGCCUUUUUAUGAGCCCAAUCUGCUUUCUGGGAUAUUUCUGCAAGUACACAUGAGUUAUCCAUAAAUGAUAACCAAGUCCUUCAUUUAACUUGUUUUAUUUAACCAACUAUCCUUGUGUUUUCAACUAUUGAAAAACACUUGGAUAUUUAUAAGCCAGUCCUUUGAUAAGUUAAUUUAAUAGGUUUUGUAGUAACCUUUUAUUUAUUUUUAUUACGCUUAGGUCCUUAGUUCAUGUUUAUUGUAACUUGUUGUUUUAACCCUGGAUUUCAGCAUAAUAAUCUUAUAAGAACUUCCUUUACAUCAAUAAUCUUG